Molecule: ribosomal RNA, 995 nt
Filed under: uncultured bacterium
Lineage: Bacteria
Description: bacterial SSU rRNA
Rfam family: Bacterial small subunit ribosomal RNA
Source: RNAcentral
GGGAAUUUUGGGCAAUGGGCGAAAGCCUGACCCAGCAACGCCGCGUGAAGGAUGAAAUCCCUCGAGAUGUAAACUUCGCAAGAACGGGAAGAAUAAGUUUGUGCUAAUACCACAAGCGAUGCCGGUACUGUUUGUAAGCUCCGGCUAACUCCGUGCCAGCAGCCGCGGUAAUACGGGGGGAGCAAGCGUUGUUCGGAUUUACUGGGCGUAAAGGGCGCGUAGGCGGCCUCCGCAAGUCAGUUGUGAAAUCUCCGAGCUUAACUCGGAAAGGUCAACUGAUACUGCGGGGCUAGAGUGCGGAAGGGGCAACUGGAAUUCUUGGUGUAGCGGUGAAAUGCGUAGAUAUCAAGAGGAACACCUGCGGCGAAGGCGGGUUGCUGGGCCGACACUGACGCUGAGGCGCGAAAGCCAGGGGAGCGAACGGGAUUAGAUACCCCGGUAGUCCUAGCCUUAAACGAUGAAUGCUUGGUGUCUGGGGUUAUAUAGUCCCCGGGUGCCGUCGCUAACGCUUUAAGCAUUCCGCCUGGGGAGUACGGUCGCAAGACUGAAACUCAAAGGAAUUGACGGGGACCCGCACAAGCGGUGGAGCAUGUGGUUUAAUUCGACGCAACGCGAAGAACCUUACCUGGGCUAGAAUGCCUCUGACAACUCCAGAGAUGGAGCCUCCUAGGGAAACCUAGGCAGAGUGCAAGGUGCUGCAUGGCUGUCGUCAGCUCGUGUCGUGAGAUGUUGGGUUAAGUCCCUCAACGAGCGCAACCCUUAUCAAUAGUUGCCAGCGGUUCGGCCGGGCACUCUAUUGAGACUGCCGUUGACAAAACGGAGGAAGGUGGGGAUGACGUCAAGUCCUCAUGGCCUUUAUGUCCAGGGCUACACACGUGCUACAAUGGCCGGUACAAAGCGCUGCAAACCUGCAAGGGGGAGCCAAUCGCAAAAAGCCGGUCUCAGUUCGGAUUGGAGUCUGCAACUCGACUCCAUGAAGUUGGAAUCGCUAGUAA